Lepidothrix coronata (blue-crowned manakin) is the source of this 470-nucleotide long non-coding RNA. RefSeq lists it as uncharacterized. The transcript is spliced from 4 exons. NCBI's taxonomy places the organism in Eukaryota, Metazoa, Chordata, Aves, Passeriformes, Pipridae. The record is from RefSeq and is a predicted model, not a curated record.
UAGAGAAUCCAAACCCAAUCUGUGCUGUGGGGUUGAGCUUCCCACCUCAGGAGGAGAGGGAUCCUGCCUGCCAAGGUUACCCAUCAGUGCCUGCUCUGAUGAGACAAUGCUGGAGACUUCUCUGUUUGACCAGCUGAAUUUCCACCCAUACACCUGGAUUUUGAUCCUAUGGCUCAGGCUGAAGCUUUCCUCACUUCUUCAGAGACCGUGCUAACCAAGGUCAGCAGAACUGCCUGAGCCAUCAGCCAUCACGCAGUAGGGAAAAUGAUCAUGUGGCAUCUUGUCAGGCUUGUCAUGAAGAAGAAACCAAUGCCUCUUUCUUGGGACCAUUUAGGUCAUUGGGUGUUUGAGCAGCAUAAAAUUACAGAGGAAAAUUUAACAGCAUACAACGAGACUGAAAAGUGACAAAUCUGCAUUUCCUAAGACCCAGGGAUGCAGGCAGAUGUCCUGCUCUGCUUAUUUACACCUUG